AUACGGGGGGAGCAAGCGUUGUCCGGAAUUACUGGGCGUAAAGGGCGUGUAGGCGGCUUGAUAAGUCAGAUGUGAAAGCCUUCCGCUUAACGGAAGAACUGCAUUUGAAACUGUCGGGCUUGAGUGCGAGAGAGGGUAGUGGAAUUCCCAGUGUAGCGGUGAAAUGCGUAGAUAUUGGGAAGAACACCAGUAGCGAAGGCGGCUACCUGGCUCGUAACUGACGCUAAGGUACGAAAGCGUGGGGAGCGAACAGGAGUAGAUACCCGAGUAGUCC
Molecule: ribosomal RNA, 274 nt
Filed under: uncultured bacterium
Lineage: Bacteria
Description: partial 16S ribosomal RNA
Rfam family: Bacterial small subunit ribosomal RNA
Source: RNAcentral